AAAUAUGAACUUCUUAAGCAUAAACAGUGAAGCAUAGGAAACAGUAAUUAUACGCAACGCCUCUUUCUCCUUCAGGACAGAGUCAACAGACUGUGAUCUUGACAUCCGCAAUGCCGGACAUCCAGCGACAUAAUCCUACCUCGAUUGCAACAUAGGGAAACGAUAGUUGCAAACGACUAUCACCGAUCAAGCGUACCUGACAACAACAACGUAAGCUACAUAGUGCACACAAGUCGCACCUAGUAACACACCAAGCACAACUCCGACACUUCCAACUACCAGCGGCGCUUCCCUUGGAGACGCCGCACUGUGUCACACUGCGGGAAAGCAUUGUCCAUGGAUCGCAAUUAUUCUCUGCACGCUUUCAGUGACAGCGCCUAACGGAACGUUGGCCAUGAGAAAGCUUGCACGAGCGGAGGUCCUACCGAUGGAUGCUAAGCCAAGCCAUUAGAGACUGCCAACUAAUCGCCUAGAGCUCAGAUUUCGAAGUCAGGAAGAACAGAACUGAACAGAACAGAACAGACUGGUGGAGGAGAGAGAGCUAGGACGGGUCCUCG
RNAcentral lists this long non-coding RNA (557 nucleotides) under Physcomitrium patens. Its description in RNAcentral is "long non-coding RNA (PPAT_LNC006299)". Lineage: Eukaryota; Viridiplantae; Streptophyta; Bryopsida; Funariales; Funariaceae. The record is from RNAcentral.